AACGGCAGAGUCUGAGCAAUGGCUGCGGCUAAACAAACAGUCAUCUGCGGUAAGAUGUUUUCUUAGCAAGUGGAAGGAUAACAAAUGUGCCAGUACCUUCACAUAAUAAACGACAAUGAUUUUAUAGACGGGCACGAAGACAGACCGACAUCACUGAGUGAAAGGAUGAAACGCCCUUGAAUGUGGCAGCGGUGCAGGUAAUGAGUCCCGAAAUUCUCAAAAUGGAGAAAAUAGAAAUGGAGGCCAAACCUGCAGAUGUGAAUGGCAGUGAUGUGAAUGAUGGAGCAUCUACACAGAAAAGAUGCUGGAAUCCAGAAAUGUCUUCACCUGGGGCCUACUGGGGAUGGCAAUAAUAACCAAACCAAAAAUUAACCAAGCUGUGGGAAUACAAACCUGUAG
Molecule: long non-coding RNA, 399 nt
Organism: Labeo rohita (rohu)
Lineage: Eukaryota; Metazoa; Chordata; Actinopteri; Cypriniformes; Cyprinidae
Exons: 3
Source: RefSeq, a predicted model, not a curated record